RNAcentral lists this ribosomal RNA (289 nucleotides) under Nosema bombycis. RNAcentral's name for it is "partial large subunit ribosomal RNA". It matches the Rfam family "Archaeal large subunit ribosomal RNA", at positions 2675 to 2987 of the family's 2987-position model. Lineage: Eukaryota; Fungi; Microsporidia; Nosematidae. The record is from RNAcentral.
UGGGUUUAGACCGUCGUGAGACAGGUUAGUUUUACCCUACUGUUUAUAUUAUUAAGAAAAGUUAUAUAGUACGAGAGGAACAAUAGGUGAUGACCUCUGGUGUAGCGAUUAAUUAUUCAAUUAUGUUGCAAAACUACGUCAUGAAUAAUAAAUGCUGAAAGCCUCUUAAGCAUGAAGUUAAUCUUAAUGAUAAACAACUGAGGAAUACUACCUCUUUGAAGAGUGGGACUGUAAGAAUGAAGGUGUAUACCGACAUUUUGAGGUUACCAUUUCGUUCUGUAUAAAAAUA